Molecule: ribosomal RNA, 253 nt
Filed under: uncultured bacterium
Lineage: Bacteria
Description: partial 16S ribosomal RNA
Rfam family: Bacterial small subunit ribosomal RNA
Source: RNAcentral
UACGAAGGGUGCAAGCGUUAAUCGGAAUUACUGGGCGUAAAGCGUGCGCAGGCGGCUUUGCAAGACAGAUGUGAAAUCCCCGGGCUCAACCUGGGAACUGCAUUUGUGACUGCAAGGCUAGAGUACGGCAGAGGGGGAUGGAAUUCCGCGUGUAGCAGUGAAAUGCGUAGAUAUGCGGAGGAACACCGAUGGCGAAGGCAAUCCCCUGGGCCUGCACUGACGCUCAUGCACGAAAGCGUGGGGAGCAAACAGG